AUAAGCGGAGGAAAAGAAACCAACAGGGAUUGCCUUAGUAACGGCGAGUGAAGCGGCAACAGCUCAAAUUUGAAAUCUGGCCCUCGGGUCCGAAUUGUAAUUUGUAGAGGAUGAUUUUGGUGCGGUAUCUUCCGAGUUCCUUGGAACAGGACGCCUUAGAGGGUGAGAGCCCCGUACGGUUGAAUGCCUAGCCUCUGUAAAUCUCCUUCGACGAGUCGAGUAGUUUGGGAAUGCUGCUCUAAAUGGGAGGUAAAUUUCUUCUAAAGCUAAAUAUUGGCCAGAGACCGAUAGCGCACAAGUAGAGUGAUCGAAAGAUGAAAAGCACUUUGAAAAGAGGGUUAAAUAGCACGUGAAAUUGUUGAAAGGGAAGGAUUUGUGACCAGACUUUUUCUGGGCGGAUCAUCCGGGGUUCUCUCCGGUGCACUUUGCCCAGUAAAGGCCAGCAUCGAUUUUCGGCGGCGGAUAAAAGCAGUGGGAAUGUGGCUCCCUACGGGGAGUGUUAUAGCCCAUUGUAUAAUACGCUGCUGGGGAUCGAGGUACGCGCUUCUGCAAGGAUGCUGGCGUAAUGGUUAUCAAUCACCCGUCUUGAAACACGGACCAAGGAGUCGAACAUUUAUGCGAGUGUUUGGGUGUUAAACCCUCACGCGUAAUGAAAGUGAACGGAGGUGAGAGCCCGUACGGGUGCAUCAUCGACCGAUCCUGAAGUUUUCGGAUGGAUUUGAGUAAGAGCAUAACUGUUCGGACCCGAAAGAUGGUGAACUAUGCGUGGAUAGGGUGAAGCCAGAGGAAACUCUGGUGGAGGCUCGCAGCGGUUCUGACGUGCAAAUCGAUCGUCAAAUCUGCGCAUGGGGGCGAAAGACUAAUCGAACCAUCUAGUAGCUGGUUAC
RNAcentral lists this ribosomal RNA (887 nucleotides) under Pestalotiopsis biciliata. Its description in RNAcentral is "LSU rRNA". It matches the Rfam family "Eukaryotic large subunit ribosomal RNA", at positions 46 to 958 of the family's 3401-position model. The record is from RNAcentral. Lineage: Eukaryota; Fungi; Ascomycota; Sordariomycetes; Amphisphaeriales; Sporocadaceae.